GAUGGACAGCUCUGCAUUAUGCUUGUCAGUAUGGUCAUUUGUCUAUUGUGGAGAAAUUAUUAUUAUCCGGAUGUGAGAAAGAUGUCAAGGACAAUGAUAGAUCAACACCUUUACAUCUUUCCUGCUUAACAAUACUGUUCUGUCAUGAUAGUCAUCUGCCAAUUGUAAAGUUGUUGAUAUCAUCAGGAGCUGAUUUGUUAGCAGUGAACAAGCUAGAGAGGACGAACACCAUUACAAGCUGCAGAGGAAUGGUUGCCAAGAGAUUCUGGUCUAAGUAAAGAAAAUCGUUCUCAUAUUAUUUCUCACCUAAAGGGAUUAGAUGAGA
Molecule: long non-coding RNA, 325 nt
Organism: Corticium candelabrum
Lineage: Eukaryota; Metazoa; Porifera; Homoscleromorpha; Homosclerophorida; Plakinidae
Exons: 3
Source: RefSeq, a predicted model, not a curated record